CCAAUGACUCUCAGCAACGGAUAUCUUGGCUCUUGCAACGAUGAAGAACGCAGCGAAAUGCGAUACCUAGUGUGAAUUGCAGAAUUCCGCGAAUCAUCGAGUUUUUGAACGCCAGUU
RNAcentral lists this ribosomal RNA (117 nucleotides) under Lepidolejeunea sullivantii. RNAcentral's name for it is "partial 5.8S ribosomal RNA". It matches the Rfam family "5.8S ribosomal RNA", at positions 1 to 112 of the family's 154-position model. From Rfam's summary of the family: 5.8S ribosomal RNA (5.8S rRNA) is a component of the large subunit of the eukaryotic ribosome. It is transcribed by RNA polymerase I as part of the 45S precursor that also contains 18S and 28S rRNA. Lineage: Eukaryota; Viridiplantae; Streptophyta; Jungermanniopsida; Porellales; Lejeuneaceae. The record is from RNAcentral.